UAUCAGCUGCUCUAAUGGAAGCUACUGAGACAAACAUUGCACAAACCAUGGCAAACUGUCUCCCAGCACACAUGGGGAGGAGGGGCGAUGUGUUCCUGUCCAUGCUUCACGGAGAAGGCAGCCAGGAUGGCUGCAGUGAUGUGUUUGAAAGUCAGUGGAAGAGCUGUAGCUGGACCACAGCAGGCCCAGCUGCAAUUCAGGUGUCUGAUGAUUGCGCCUCAAGCUUACUCAGAGAAACAGAAUCCUGCUCCCAGGAUUAUCCCACCACCAUCUCUACCAGCUGGGAAAUUGCAGCAAAAGCCCUGGCUCUACAGCGCCCCGGAUCCAAUCAGGAAAAGAGGAAACCCUCUGAAGAAACCAGGAAUGGAGAGGACAAACUGGCUAGCUCCCUGUCUGCAGGAAUUACUCUGUAUUGCAGACAGCUUUUUCUACCUUUUAUUCUUCUUGCACCUGUUGGAACUUGUUUCAGAUUAUUGAAUGUGGUAUGCUCAGGUGUGCACCUGAAUUCAUAGCUGAGGCUCAGCUGAUACAAACAAAAAGUACUAUUAGCAGAGAGAGACAUUUGGGAAAGCUACCCGGAAAACCAGGAUGAAAAAGGUGUGUGCGCACAAAUUAUUAAAGGGUAAACCAUGGCUUCUAGAUGAACUGAAUGGGAUUAACACACACCACUAGAGAACAGACACACUAUGAUCAGAUUAACAAAUUUAACUAUAAGGAUCAUGCUGGCUACCGACAGAAUAUGCUGGCAUUAACCCACGUAACAUGCUAAAAAACAUCAUAAGGAUUUGGACACAUGGCCCACAGAAUAGAUCAGCUACUGACCCGAUGAACCAGUGAAAGAGAACAGAGAGAAGAGCAGAUUCUGCUUGUAGGUCUUCAUUCAGCAAGUUAAAUUCUAUGGUGCAUUCCAUCUGUCAUGGCUGGGAUCAAUCUUUUGUUCCUUAUCUGAACUGAAGUGUUGAGAGGGAGAGAGAGAGUUUGUGGUUUGUGUGUUUUGUUUAUACAAAAUUCAGUUCAAGGUUUUUCAUUCCUCUCCCAAGUCAAUUUGAACUCUAUUGCAUUUCCAAACACAUCCUGGCCAACUGCCCUGUCUGCUAUUAAAACAAAAUACUGCUGUAACAGAGUUUAUUUGUUGGCAUUAGAACAGGUGACUACAGGAUUUAGCUGUUGGUUGGGAUCAAGUGAAUAAUCCCAGAAAGAGGAUGUCAAUUACAGGAUGUAAACCUGUGAAUUACAGGUGCAAACUGUACCCAAUAUAAGACACAGUCACACACUUACAGUGCUUUGAGUAAACAGUUUAUAAUCACAUUUGUAAUGAAACCUGGGCAAUUUGAUAGGCAGAGGUAGACUCCCUUAGGCCUAGUGUAUAUUUAGAAAACUUGCACUGGGAUCAUUAACACAGUUAAUAUAAUUAUAGCAGGGGACCUUUCUAAUGUAAACAUACUUAAAUUGGUUUUAAUCAGGUUUAGAUCUGUUUAGAUUGUAAUAAGUUAAAUCAGUUUACCCAUAAUUAUAGGAGUGACUGAAAUGAGAAACUGAAAAGGCUUUUCAAGGUGAUUUCCACCAUCAAUGACAGAUUGUUCAGGACGGAGUGUUUUCUAUUGUAUUCAGCUUUCUACAUCCCAAACAAUGGGAUUUCUACUAUGUCCUAGAGGAAGCUUUUAUUUGUAAGACAUUUCUCUUUCAGUCUUUUUUGUUACUUUUUUACUUCUAAUUUUACACCUCCUUAUUCCACUUGCAGGGGUUCCGCUCCACGUUUGGUGUUUAUAUCCUUGUUGUAUUUGGAGUCAGCUAUCUCAGCCAGCACUUAGCCUCUUAACAACUAGUUCUCACUCUUUUCUCAUUAGUCUCCUUACUGUCACUUAUUUCAAAUAUCUUACACUUUGUCUGUGUCUUUCUGGUGCUCGGGGCUGUACCCCUUAUUCCAGAUGAGGACACAAGAGGAGAAAUGUCACGUUCCUUCCACCUCCAUUUCCCCAAAACAAAUUUGUUAUCGCUGAGAGUUCUGAGGAUCACCAAAUAUUCUCAUUUUCUCUGUGACCCUGGACCAGCAAGUCAAACACCAGAGAUUCCUGGGAUUCUCUAAAACAGGGUGCCACAAGUGGCAUGGGCAGCCUCUGGGUAUGGCAUGCAUCAAAUAGGGGGUGCAGGCAGCACAGUGGCAGAUAGGGCAGGGAGCAGAAAGCAGAGCACCACAUCAGGCAGGGAGCACAGGGCAGGGAGCAGAAAGCUGAGCAGGAGCUCUGGUACGGGAAAGGGUUCAGAGUGGCACUUAGGGAAGGUGCGAGGCUAAUUCAAGGAAUGCCUGCCACUGCUAUAGAGGAUUCUAGAGGAACUUCAAGGCUGGUGAAUGCUAAAGUGUGUAUUAUUCCUGAGGAGAGUCAGCCCACACUCCAGAUGAUAAUAUGGGAAUUACAUGGAUUCAAGUCAUGUAAGAUCACACCACAAUAGUGGAUUUACUGAAAGCCUCUUUAUGGAGUAUUGAUCACUGCAUUGAGUUGAUUUGACCAGAGAAGAACAUGAACUAAUGAGGAAUGCACUAACUCAAUUGGUACAAACAGACAAAAGUGACAGUGUUUUCAAAAGUACUUUGAGGUCUGUGAUAAUUACAGAGUGUAGCAAGAAGUAGAUGAUAGCCAGACCCCAUCAUUCAAAGGCAUUUGCUUCUCAGCUCAGAUAUGAAGAGAGCUGUUUCUUAAGCCCCCCGAGGCAAAAUUCUAAGAAGAUUCAUGUCUCCUAUUCAGUCACCUUUGCCUGAGAACAUGUUACUACUGGUAGGGCCGGAUUAACACAUAGGCAAACUAGGCACAUGCCUACGGUCCUAAGUGAAGAAGGGGCCAAAUUGUGCUUAUUUUACAUGUUAUAAUUAUUGAGUGAAAAAAGUAGGGAUCCACGAGUUUGUUUGCCUAGGGCCCACUAAAGGGUUAAUCCAUCCCUGACUAUUGGGAAACUUUUUAACCAUUCUCAAGUGUCCUGAGGGGAAGAAGGACUGUAUUUAGUAGUCAUGUUGGGCUACCAAAUACAUCCUUGAAACAUGGAAGAUGCCAAAUUUUUGCCGAUUUUGGAUUUAAACUUCAUUGCUGAUACCUCCCUGCCUGUCUGCCAUAUGACACCACCAGGGAAGGGAAUGCUGCCUUUUCUGCACAUCAAAGAGCAACUCACAAUGACACUCCCAUGGACCCAGAGGAAGAGACUUCUACCUUCAGCUUCCUCUGUGCAAAAAUGUUUAUUUUCUACUUAUGGGGACUUGCUACCAUCUUUAAUUUUCCCUGAGCCUGAGGAAGGGUGUGUAUGCCUGAAAGCUUGCAGAAAAAAAAAUGUUUUUUGCAGUUUCUUAAUUGGUCUAAUAAAAAGUAUAAUCUCUG
This is a long non-coding RNA of Alligator mississippiensis (American alligator), 3365 nucleotides long. RefSeq lists it as uncharacterized. The transcript has 2 exons. The record is from RefSeq and is a predicted model, not a curated record. NCBI's taxonomy places the organism in Eukaryota, Metazoa, Chordata, Crocodylia, Alligatoridae.